AGUCCUGAGGUGGCUAUCACAUUGAAUUGCAAGUUCAAAGAAGCAGCUUCAAUACUGCCGGGGCUU
RNAcentral lists this transfer RNA (66 nucleotides) under Lepilemur wrighti. RNAcentral's name for it is "Lepilemur wrightae tRNA-Cys". Lineage: Eukaryota; Metazoa; Chordata; Mammalia; Primates; Lepilemuridae. The record is from RNAcentral.